RNAcentral lists this long non-coding RNA (280 nucleotides) under Nicotiana benthamiana. RNAcentral describes it as "long non-coding RNA (NBEN_LNC030953)". The record is from RNAcentral. Lineage: Eukaryota; Viridiplantae; Streptophyta; Magnoliopsida; Solanales; Solanaceae.
UGUUAUAGACACUGUCGAGGGUAGGGGGAGGCUGCAUCAUCAGCAAGUUACUCCUUACCCCCAUAUAUGUCUCAUUAAGGCCCAUGAGGAAUUGAAACACCUUAUUCUCCUCAUCCUCCUGUAUGAUGCCAGUUUUGGCAGCACAAAUACACCUUUGGCCAUGAUUUGUACACACUGCUCCUAACUCAUCCCACAUCCCUUUUGAGUUUGUUAAAAUAUGAUGCUAUAUCUAGAGGUCCUUGAGAAGUGUGAGAGAGUUCUCUUUUAAGUUCAAAAAUUU